RNAcentral lists this ribosomal RNA (486 nucleotides) under uncultured bacterium. RNAcentral's name for it is "partial 16S ribosomal RNA". It matches the Rfam family "Bacterial small subunit ribosomal RNA", at positions 28 to 507 of the family's 1533-position model. The record is from RNAcentral.
GACGAACGCUGGCGGCGUGCUUAACACAUGCAAGUCGAACGCUGAAGACCUGGCUUUUGUUGGGUUGGAUGAGUGGCGAACGGGUGAGUAACACGUGAGUAACCUGCCCUCUUCUUUGGGAUAACGCCCGGAAACGGGUGCUAAUACUGGAUAUUCACUGAUCUUCGCAUGGGGGUUGGUGGAAAGGUUUGUUCUGGUGGGGGAUGGGCUCGCGGCCUAUCAGCUUGUUGGUGGGGUGAUGGCCUACCAAGGCUUUGACGGGUAGCCGGCCUGAGAGGGUGACCGGUCACAUUGGGACGGAGAUACGGCCCAGACUCCUACGGGAGGCAGCAGUGGGGAAUAUUGCACAAUGGGCGAAAGCCGGAUGCAGCGACGCCGCGUGAGGGAUGGAGGCCUUCGGGUUGUAAACCUCUUUCGCUCAUGGUCAAGCCGCAACUGUGGGUUGUGGUGAGGGUAGUGGGUAAAGAAGCGCCGGCUAACUACGUG